This 425-nucleotide ribosomal RNA is filed under the name uncultured bacterium. RNAcentral describes it as "bacterial SSU rRNA". It matches the Rfam family "Bacterial small subunit ribosomal RNA", at positions 356 to 773 of the family's 1533-position model. The record is from RNAcentral.
AGGGAAUGUUCCACAAUGGACGCAAGUCUGAUGGAGCAACGCCGCGUGAGUGAAGAAGGGUUUCGGCUCGUAAAGCUCUGUUGUUAAAGAAGAACGUGGGUGAGAGUAACUGUUCACCCAGUGACGGUAUUUAACCAGAAAGCCACGGCUAACUACGUGCCAGCAGCCGCGGUAAUACGUAGGUGGCAAGCGUUGUCCGGAAUUAUUGGGCGUAAAGCGCGCGCAGGCGGUCCUUUAAGGCUGAUGUGAAAGCCCACGGCUCAACCGUGGAGGGUCAUUGGAAACUGGAGGACUUGAGUGCAGAAGAGGAAAGUGGAAUUCCAAGUGUAGCGGUGAAAUGCGUAGAGAUUUGGAGGAACACCAGUGGCGAAGGCGGCUGUCUGGUCUGUAACUGACGCUGAGGCUCGAAAGCAUGGGUAGCGAAC